UCUUAACAAUGAACAGGAAAAAAUUGCAUUGGAAGAAAAACAAGGAUGUUUUUUUGAAAUAGCUGGUAAAACACAAGGAAAUAGACAGUAGUUAAGUCGUUUGUUCAUACCAUGUAGGAGAUCUGUGGAAAAAAGAGCAAGACGUAAUCUUUAGAAGGAGAGUUUAUCUGUGAUCCUAGUCAGAGAAGAUGAAGCUGGACUUUCCUGUUCAGAGUACUCCUAGACAUCACCAGAAGUGUCAGGUCCUACACUAGAAAAGCUAAAAUGAGGGGAUAUCAAAUAAUAUGUGCAAAAAAGAAGUAGAGAGGAUGUCCAACUAAUUAGGAUUGAGUUUGUGGCAAGCUGUUCUAACCGAAUGAACAAACAUUCAUCAGAUAACCCCUUUCUCCUGUCCUUGAUACUUUUGCCAUUCUAUAACUUUGGA
Gallus gallus (chicken) is the source of this 424-nucleotide long non-coding RNA. Lineage: Eukaryota; Metazoa; Chordata; Aves; Galliformes; Phasianidae. The record is from Ensembl.